GCACGGAUCGAAUAGCGGCAAUUUCGCAGGCUUCAGAAGCCUGUCCCUUAGUGGGUCCGAAGGUUCGAGUCCUUCUCCGUGCA
RNAcentral lists this transfer RNA (83 nucleotides) under Candidatus Iainarchaeum sp. RNAcentral's name for it is "tRNA-Leu". It matches the Rfam family "tRNA". Rfam says of the family: Transfer RNA (tRNA) molecules are approximately 80 nucleotides in length. Their secondary structure includes four short double-helical elements and three loops (D, anti-codon, and T loops). The record is from RNAcentral. Lineage: Archaea; Nanobdellati; Candidatus Iainarchaeota; Candidatus Iainarchaeia; Candidatus Iainarchaeales; Candidatus Iainarchaeaceae.